Molecule: ribosomal RNA, 26 nt
Filed under: Protoglossum luteum
Lineage: Eukaryota; Fungi; Basidiomycota; Agaricomycetes; Agaricales; Cortinariaceae
Description: partial 18S ribosomal RNA
Source: RNAcentral
UGAGUUGCUGCUGGUUCUCUGGGGAG